Molecule: long non-coding RNA, 736 nt
Organism: Sitophilus oryzae (rice weevil)
Lineage: Eukaryota; Metazoa; Arthropoda; Insecta; Coleoptera; Curculionidae
Exons: 4
Source: RefSeq, a predicted model, not a curated record
AUGACACUCAUUUCAUUAACCUUAGUUCUUAGUUUUCGUUGUGUGAUUUUGUGAUUUGUAUAAAUAAUACGAGUAAUUAUAAUUUUAUAUGAAUAUAUCGAGAUGAGCAAUUCAACAAAUAUGGUGUACUCUGAUCGGGAGAAGAUGCUAUUGACUACGUUGGUAAGAGAAAAUCGGCUUGUAGAGGAUAAAAGAGCGGACGCUGCGAUGAUAGCGGAUAAAAAGCGAAUAAAAAGCAUCCCAACAGUUACGUAGGUUGUGGAUAAAUUUGAAACACAGCUAAGUCUGAGGGGAUGUCUCACUUGGGUAAAAAAUGUGCUGCCAAAAGAUCUUUCUACUGCCCAUGCCAAUGACUGCGAAGAUAACUCUUCAGUUACAAAGCCAUAACAUAUACAAGAUAAGACAUAUCUGAUGGGUUGCUCUUUCAUAUUCUAGGAGUGUUGAAGAAAAUGUUGGUCCCUAUAAGUAGAUAAUGAGACCAAAAUACAUAAUAUGUAUAUAAUAUUGUUGUAAGAAAUAUGUGUUUAGAAGUUUUUAAAAUGGAUAUUACCAACGCACAUGAUACUGUUUAUAAAUACAGGUAUCAAUCAGAUGUUGGCAUAGGGCAAAAAAUGUGUAUCCAGAUAGUUUUUCUGAAGAGAUUUCUGAAAGCAAUAAAUAUAUGCAAAGUCAGAACUGAUCACACACAUGUAUUAUUUUCCUAUUAGACGGAGAGCUGGCUACAUAAAAAACCUUA